AGCGAACGCUGGCGGUAGGCCUAACACAUGCAAGUCGAACGGCAGCACAGUAAGAGCUUGCUCUUACGGGUGGCGAGUGGCGGACGGGUGAGGAAUACAUCGGAAUCUACUUUUUCGUGGGGAUAACGUAGGGAAACUUACGCUAAUACCGCAUACGACCUACGGGUGAAAGCAGGGGAUCUUCGGACCUUGCGCGAUUGAAUGAGCCGAUGUCGGAUUAGCUAGUUGGCGGGGUAAAGGCCCACCAAGGCGACGAUCCGUAGCUGGUCUGAGAGGAUGAUCAGCCACACUGGAACUGAGACACGGUCCAGACUCCUACGGGAGGCAGCAGUGGGGAAUAUUGGACAAUGGGCGCAAGCCUGAUCCAGCCAUACCGCGUGGGUGAAGAAGGCCUUCGGGUUGUAAAGCCCUUUUGUUGGGAAAGAAAAGCAGCAGGUUAAUACCCCGCUGUUCUGACGGUACCCAAAGAAUAAGCACCGGCUAACUUCGUG
Molecule: ribosomal RNA, 491 nt
Filed under: uncultured bacterium
Lineage: Bacteria
Description: partial 16S ribosomal RNA
Rfam family: Bacterial small subunit ribosomal RNA
Source: RNAcentral